GACAGGAAACCCACCACCCCACAUCAACAGGAAGAGAAGGAGAGAGAGAGAUGGCGCCUGAGAGCUCAGCGCUCAGCCCUGGGGAGGGACAGGCUGAUUCCCAUGAGGCACCACAGUGUCUCUCAGAGAUCAGAAUCGUGCUGCUGGGGGAGGAAGAGUUUGGGAAGAGCUCAGCAGGAAACGCCAUCCUGGGCAGAAAGGAGUUUCAGACUAAGAGAGAAACUGAGGAGUGUGUGAAGAGUCAGAGUGAAGUAGCUGGGAGGCAGAUCACUGUGGUCGACACUCCAGACUGGGAUGUGUGGCUGAUGAGGAAUGAUCCACAGCAGAUCAGACAGGAAAUUGUGAAAAUGUUGUCCAUGUUUCCCCCAGAACCCCACACUCUCCUUCUGGUGAUUAAUCUAGAUUCAAUAACAGACUGGAGAACAGAGGAGAAACAUCUGGAACUUCUCAGUGAGAGAGUCUGGAGACAUACAAUAGUGCUGUUCACCUGAAGGGACACACUGAGACUCACAACCAUUGAGCAGCACAUUGAGAGAGGAGGGAAGGAGCUCCAGUGGCUGGUGGAGAAAUGUGGGAACAGGUAUCAUGUUCUCAACAACAAGAAUGGGGGCGACCGCACUCAGGUCACAGAGCUGCUGGAGAAGAUAGAGGACAUGGUGGCAGGAAACUGUGGGCUGUACUUCACUACUGAGAUAUACAGAGAGACAGUAGAAAGGAUCAGACUUAAGGAACAAUAAACAGAAGAGCCCAGAUUGCCUGUCAGGAGGAGGAGGAUCAGUAUGGGCGAGCCUCCCAACAUGGGCGAAGGAGACCCUGCAGUUGAACCCAUACUCCAGCCCCACACCUCUGAUCUGAAACUGGUGCUGUUUGGUAGGACUGGUGCUGGGAAGAGCGCAGCAGGAAACACCAUCCUGGGCUCAGAGGAGUUUCCCUCUGAAGCCAGCAGCUCCGCAGUCACUCAGGAGAGCCGGAAGAGGACAGGACAAGUGUCCGGGAGACGGGUGACUGUGGUGGACACUCCAAACUAGACCACAGGACAGAGAUUGAGGAACUGAGAGACACAGAAAAGGAACACAGAGAGACUGCAUUGUGAUAAAUAUUCUGGGAUUAGAGAAACAUUCUUCCCCAAAUUUACAUAUCUAAUCCUAGAAUUCCCACACAUGCCAGAAUCACAACAGGUCCCAAUCCUACUGGGAGAGGGAGGAGGGAACUCAGUUGAAC
Non-coding RNA from Lepisosteus oculatus (spotted gar), 1221 nucleotides. The record is from RefSeq and is a predicted model, not a curated record. Lineage: Eukaryota; Metazoa; Chordata; Actinopteri; Semionotiformes; Lepisosteidae.